This 253-nucleotide ribosomal RNA is filed under the name uncultured bacterium. RNAcentral describes it as "partial 16S ribosomal RNA". It matches the Rfam family "Bacterial small subunit ribosomal RNA", at positions 524 to 776 of the family's 1533-position model. The record is from RNAcentral.
UACGGAGGGCGCAAGCGUUGUUCGGAAUCACUGGGCGUAAAGCGCGUGUAGGCGGCUCUGCAAGUCGGGUGUGAAAUCCCGAGGCUCAACCUCGGAACUGCACUCGAUACUGCUUGGCUCGAGUCCCGGAGAGGGUGGCGGAAUUCCAGGUGUAGGGGUGAAAUCCGUAGAUAUCGGGAGGAACACCAGUGGCGAAGGCGGCCACCUGGAUGGUGACUGACGCUGAGACGCGAAAGCGUGGGGAGCAAACAGG